UGAGAUGACUUUUUUUCACUCGGCGGCACC
RNAcentral lists this non-coding RNA (30 nucleotides) under Rattus norvegicus (Norway rat). Lineage: Eukaryota; Metazoa; Chordata; Mammalia; Rodentia; Muridae. The record is from RNAcentral.